RNAcentral lists this ribosomal RNA (478 nucleotides) under uncultured bacterium. RNAcentral describes it as "partial 16S ribosomal RNA". It matches the Rfam family "Bacterial small subunit ribosomal RNA", at positions 28 to 523 of the family's 1533-position model. The record is from RNAcentral.
GAUGAACGCUGGCGGCGUGCUUAACACAUGCAAGUCGAACGGUAAGGCCCUUCGGGGUACACGAGUGGCGAACGGGUGAGUAACACGUGGGUGAUCUGCCCUGCACUUCGGGAUAAGCCUGGGAAACUGGGUCUAAUACCGGAUAGGACUCCGGACUGCAUGGUCUGGGGUGGAAAGCUUUUGCGGUGUGGGAUGGGCCCGCGGCCUAUCAGCUUGUUGGUGGGGUGAUGGCCUACCAAGGCGACGACGGGUAGCCGGCCUGAGAGGGUGACCGGCCACACUGGGACUGAGAUACGGCCCAGACUCCUACGGGGGGCAGCAGUGGGGAAUAUUGCACAAUGGGCGCAAGCCUGAUGCAGCGACGCCGCGUGAGGGAUGACGGCCUUCGGGUUGUAAACCUCUUUCAGCAUCGACGAAGCGAAAGUGACGGUAGGUGCAGAAGAAGGACCGGCCAACUACGUGCCAGCCGCCGCGGUAA